This 1245-nucleotide ribosomal RNA is filed under the name Bacteroides fragilis. RNAcentral describes it as "bacterial SSU rRNA". It matches the Rfam family "Bacterial small subunit ribosomal RNA", at positions 198 to 1457 of the family's 1533-position model. The record is from RNAcentral. Lineage: Bacteria; Pseudomonadati; Bacteroidota; Bacteroidia; Bacteroidales; Bacteroidaceae.
UUAUUAAAGGAUUCCGGUAAAGGAUGGGGAUGCGUUCCAUUAGGUUGUUGGUGAGGUAACGGCUCACCAAGCCUUCGAUGGAUAGGGGUUCUGAGAGGAAGGUCCCCCACAUUGGAACUGAGACACGGUCCAAACUCCUACGGGAGGCAGCAGUGAGGAAUAUUGGUCAAUGGGCGCUAGCCUGAACCAGCCAAGUAGCGUGAAGGAUGAAGGCUCUAUGGGUCGUAAACUUCUUUUAUAUAAGAAUAAAGUGCAGUAUGUAUACUGUUUUGUAUGUAUUAUAUGAAUAAGGAUCGGCUAACUCCGUGCCAGCAGCCGCGGUAAUACGGAGGAUCCGAGCGUUAUCCGGAUUUAUUGGGUUUAAAGGGAGCGUAGGUGGACUGGUAAGUCAGUUGUGAAAGUUUGCGGCUCAACCGUAAAAUUGCAGUUGAUACUGUCAGUCUUGAGUACAGUAGAGGUGGGCGGAAUUCGUGGUGUAGCGGUGAAAUGCUUAGAUAUCACGAAGAACUCCGAUUGCGAAGGCAGCUCACUGGACUGCAACUGACACUGAUGCUCGAAAGUGUGGGUAUCAAACAGGAUUAGAUACCCUGGUAGUCCACACAGUAAACGAUGAAUACUCGCUGUUUGCGAUAUACAGUAAGCGGCCAAGCGAAAGCAUUAAGUAUUCCACCUGGGGAGUACGCCGGCAACGGUGAAACUCAAAGGAAUUGACGGGGGCCCGCACAAGCGGAGGAACAUGUGGUUUAAUUCGAUGAUACGCGAGGAACCUUACCCGGGCUUAAAUUGCAGUGGAAUGAUGUGGAAACAUGUCAGUGAGCAAUCACCGCUGUGAAGGUGCUGCAUGGUUGUCGUCAGCUCGUGCCGUGAGGUGUCGGCUUAAGUGCCAUAACGAGCGCAACCCUUAUCUUCAGUUACUAACAGGUCAUGCUGAGGACUCUGGAGAGACUGCCGUCGUAAGAUGUGAGGAAGGUGGGGAUGACGUCAAAUCAGCACGGCCCUUACGUCCGGGGCUACACACGUGUUACAAUGGGGGGUACAGAAGGCAGCUAGCGGGUGACCGUAUGCUAAUCCCGAAAUCCUCUCUCAGUUCGGAUCGAAGUCUGCAACCCGACUUCGUGAAGCUGGAUUCGCUAGUAAUCGCGCAUCAGCCACGGCGCGGUGAAUACGUUCCCGGGCCUUGUACACACCGCCCGUCAAGCCAUGGGAGCCGGGGGUACCUGAAGUACGUAACCGCAAGGAUCGUCC